Molecule: ribosomal RNA, 490 nt
Filed under: uncultured bacterium
Lineage: Bacteria
Description: partial 16S ribosomal RNA
Rfam family: Bacterial small subunit ribosomal RNA
Source: RNAcentral
GAUGAACGCUAGCUACAGGCUUAACACAUGCAAGUCGAGGGGCAGCAUGGUCUUAGCUUGCUAAGGCCGAUGGCGACCGGCGCACGGGUGAGUAACACGUAUCCAACCUGCCGUCUACUCUUGGACAGCCUUCUGAAAGGAAGAUUAAUACAAGAUGGCAUCAUGAGUCCGCAUGUUCACAUGAUUAAAGGUAUUCCGGUAGACGAUGGGGAUGCGUUCCAUUAGAUAGUAGGCGGGGUAACGGCCCACCUAGUCUUCGAUGGAUAGGGGUUCUGAGAGGAAGGUCCCCCACAUUGGAACUGAGACACGGUCCAAACUCCUACGGGAGGCAGCAGUGAGGAAUAUUGAUCAAUGGGCGCAGACCUGAACCAGCCAAGUAGCGUGAAGGAUGACUGCCCUAUGGGUUGUAAACUUCUUUUAUAAAGGAAUAAAGUCGGGUAUGUAUACCCGUUUGCAUGUACUUUAUGAAUAAGGAUCGGCUAACUCCGUG